Molecule: unclassified non-coding RNA, 345 nt
Filed under: soil metagenome
Description: partial contains 5.8S ribosomal RNA, internal transcribed spacer 2, and large subunit ribosomal RNA
Rfam family: 5.8S ribosomal RNA (bases 1-120)
Source: RNAcentral
GAUGAAGAACGUAGCGAAAUGCGAUAAGUAAUGUGAAUUGCAGAAUUCAGUGAAUCAUCGAGUCUUUGAACGCACAUUGCGCCCCCUGGUAUUCCGGGGGGCAUGCCUGUCCGAGCGUCAUUGCUGCCCUCAAGCACGGCUUGUGUGUUGGGCCUCCGUCCUCCUCCCGGGGGACGGGCCCGAAAGGCAGCGGCGGCACCGCGUCCGGUCCUCGAGCGUAUGGGGCUUCGUCACCCGCUCUUGUAGGCCCGGCCGGCGCUUGCCGACACAUCAAUCUUUUUUCCAGGUUGACCUCGGAUCAGGUAGGGAUACCCGCUGAGCUUAAGCAUAUCAAUAAGCGGAGGA